This 200-nucleotide long non-coding RNA is filed under the name Nicotiana benthamiana. Its description in RNAcentral is "long non-coding RNA (NBEN_LNC029770)". Lineage: Eukaryota; Viridiplantae; Streptophyta; Magnoliopsida; Solanales; Solanaceae. The record is from RNAcentral.
AAAUAUCCAAUAAAGAGAAACAAUCAGUUCUCUUUCUCUUUCUGUCUCGUUCUUCAUUUCUUCAAUCAUCUUUUCAAUUUUACCUUGAUCAAUCUGUAAUAUAUGGUAUGUUAACAUGGUAUCAGAGCAGCGAUUCUGAUUCUGCUCGUCACUGGCUUUGUUGCGAUGUUACCCUCGUCAAUUUUCAUCCGAGUUUCUCU